This 490-nucleotide ribosomal RNA is filed under the name uncultured bacterium. RNAcentral describes it as "partial 16S ribosomal RNA". It matches the Rfam family "Bacterial small subunit ribosomal RNA", at positions 30 to 507 of the family's 1533-position model. The record is from RNAcentral.
AUUGAACGCUGGCGGCAGGCCUAACACAUGCAAGUCGAACGGUAACAGGAAGAAGCUUGCUUCUUUGCUGACGAGUGGCGGACGGGUGAGUAAUGUCUGGGAAACUGCCUGAUGGAGGGGGAUAACUACUGGAAACGGUAGCUAAUACCGCAUAACGUCGCAAGACCAAAAAGGGGGACCUUCGGGCCUCUUGCCAUCGGAUGUGCCCAGAUGGGAUUAGCUAGUAGGUGGGGUAACGGCUCACCUAGGCGACGAUCCCUAGCUGGUCUGAGAGGAUGACCAGCCACACUGGAACUGAGACACGGUCCAGACUCCUACGGGAGGCAGCAGUGGGGAAUAUUGCACAAUGGGCGCAAGCCUGAUGCAGCCAUGCCGCGUGUAUGAAGAAGGCCUUCGGGUUGUAAAGUACUUUCAGCGGGGAGGAAGGGAGUAAAGUUAUUACCUUUGCUCAUUGACGUUACCCGCAGAAGAAGCACCGGCUAACUCCGUG